Molecule: ribosomal RNA, 1410 nt
Filed under: uncultured bacterium
Lineage: Bacteria
Description: partial 16S ribosomal RNA
Rfam family: Bacterial small subunit ribosomal RNA
Source: RNAcentral
UGGCGGCAGGCUUAACACAUGCAAGUCGAGCGCCCUGCUUGCAGGGAGCGGCAGACGGGUGAGUAACGCGUGGGAACAUACCUUUUGGUUCGGAAUAGCCCCGGGAAACUGGGUGUAAUACCGGAUGCGUCCUUAGGGAGAAAGAUUUAUCGCCGAAAGAUUGGCCCGCGUUAGAUUAGAUAGUUGGUGAGGUAACGGCUCACCAAGUCGACGAUCUAUAGCUGGUUUGAGAGGAUGAUCAGCCACACUGGGACUGAGACACGGCCCAGACUCCUACGGGAGGCAGCAGUGAGGAAUCUUGGACAAUGGGCGCAAGCCUGAUCCAGCCAUGCCGCGUGAAUGAUGAAGGCCUUAGGGUUGUAAAAUUCUUUCAGCAGGGAAGAUAAUGACGGUAACCAUAGAAGAAGCCCCGGCUAAUUUCGUGCCAGCAGCCGCGGUAAUACGAAAGGGGCUAGCGUUGUUCGGAAUUACUGGGCGUAAAGCGCACGUAGGCGGCCUUGUAAGUUGGGGGUGAAAUCCCGGGGCUCAACCCCGGAACUGCCUCCAAAACUACAAAGCUAGAGGAUGUGAGAGGAUAGUGGAAUUCCGAGUGUAGAGGUGAAAUGCGUAGAUAUCGGGAAGAACACCAGUGGCGAAGGCGCUCUGCUGGGCCAUCACUGACGCUCAUGGACGAAAGCCAGGGGAGCGAAAGGGAUUAGAUACCCCUGUAGUCCUGGCCGUAAACGAUGAACACUAGGUGUCGGGGGAAUCGACCCCCUCGGUGUCGUAGCCAACGCGUUAAGUGUUCCGCCUGGGGAGUACGCACGCAAGUGUGAAACUCAAAGGAAUUGACGGGGGCCCGCACAAGCGGUGGAGUAUGUGGUUUAAUUCGAUGCAACGCGAAGAACCUUACCAGGGUUUGACAUCCUGCGAACCUCUUGGAAACAGGAGGGUGCCUUCGGGAACGCAGUGACAGGUGGUGCAUGGCUGUCGUCAGCUCGUGUCGUGAGAUGUUGGGUUAAGUCCCGCAACGAGCGCAACCCACGUCUUUAGUUGCCAGCAUUUAGUUGGGCACUCUAGAGAGACCGCCGGUGAUAAACCGGAGGAAGGUGUGGAUGACGUCAAGUCAUCAUGCCCCUUACAUCCUGGGCUACACACGUACUACAAUGCUACGGACAGAGGGCAGCAAGUUCGCGAGGACAAGCAAAUCCCAUAAACCGUGGCUCAGUUCAGAUCGUAGGCUGCAACUCGCCUACGUGAAGGAGGAAUCGCUAGUAAUCGCAGGUCAGCAUACUGCGGUGAAUACGUUCCCGGGCCUUGUACACACCGCCCGUCACACCAUGGAAGUUGGCCACGCCCGAAGCCGUUACUCCAACCCUCGGGAGGAGGAUGUCGAAGGUGGGGCUGAUGACUGGGGUGAAGUCGUAACAA